This 424-nucleotide ribosomal RNA is filed under the name uncultured Clostridium sp. RNAcentral's name for it is "bacterial SSU rRNA". It matches the Rfam family "Bacterial small subunit ribosomal RNA", at positions 354 to 794 of the family's 1533-position model. The record is from RNAcentral. Lineage: Bacteria; Bacillati; Bacillota; Clostridia; Eubacteriales; Clostridiaceae.
UGGGGGAGUAUUGCACAAUGGAGGAAACUCUGAUGCAGCGACGCCGCGUGAGUGAAGAAGUAUUUCGGUAUGUAAAGCUCUAUCAGCAGGGAAGAUAAUGACAGUACCUGACUAAGAAGCCCCGGCUAACUACGUGCCAGCAGCCGCGGUAAUACGUAGGGAGCAAGCGUUAUCCGGAUUUACUGGGUGUAAAGGGUGCGCAGGUGGCGUGGCAAGUCAGAAGUGAAAAACCCGGGGCUCAACCCGCGGACUGCUUUUGAAACUGUCAUGCUGGAGUCCAGGAGAGGUAAGCGGAAUUCCUAGUGUAGCGGUGAAAUGCGUAGAUAUUAGGAGGAACACCAGUGGCGAAGGCGGCUUACUGGACUGGUACUGACACUGAGGCACGAAAGCGUGGGGAGCAAACAGGAUUAGAUACCCUGGUAGU